GCAUAUCAAUAAGCGGAGGAAAAGAAACCAACAGGGAUUGCCUUAGUAACUGCGAGUGAAGCGGCAAAAGCUCAAAUUUGAAAUCUGGGGCCUCACAGCCUCCGAAUUGUAAUUUCGCGAUACGUUUUCGACUGAAGGCUCUGCUUUAAGUUCCUUGGAACAGGACGUCACAGAGGGUGAGAAUCCCGUGAUAGGUGGAGCCUGACGCAUAUGAUACGUAUUCAACGAGUCGAGUUGUUUGGGAAUGCAGCUCAAAAUGGGUGGUAAAUUUCAUCUAAAGCUAAAUAUUGGCGAGAGACCGAUAGCGCACAAGUAGAGUGAUCGAAAGAUGAAAAGCACUUUGAAAAGAGAGUUAAAAAGUACGUGAAAUUGUUGAAAGGGAAGCGCUUGAGACCAGACUCAAUCUGUAGUGAUCAACUUGGCUUUUGUCAGGUGCACUUGCUACUUAUUGGGACAGCAUCGGUUUUGGCGGUGGGAUAAAGUCUUGGGGAAUGUAGCUAUCUUCGGGUAGUGUUAUAGCCUCUUGAGUAAUGCCACCAGCCGGGACCGAGGACCGCGCUUCGGCUAGGAUGCUGUCAUAAUGGUCUUCAGCGACCC
This 597-nucleotide ribosomal RNA is filed under the name Geopyxis rehmii. RNAcentral's name for it is "eukaryotic LSU rRNA". It matches the Rfam family "Eukaryotic large subunit ribosomal RNA", at positions 38 to 650 of the family's 3401-position model. The record is from RNAcentral. Lineage: Eukaryota; Fungi; Ascomycota; Pezizomycetes; Pezizales; Tarzettaceae.